CUUUAGUGGCAAUUUUCCACAUCUUCACUCUAAAUCUCGCAGAGUGGGAUUUGGAGGGUGACAGCAGUUUUCGCUCCGUUUCGUGUUAAACAACGCAAAUUUACUGUCUUGGUAGCAGAACAUGUUUCCCACUUGCAAUAAUAACCUUGGGGAAGGAAGCGAAUUGAAGGAGCAGGACGACCCCCUGUCUUGUCAUCGUCCACCCAGACUGACCAAACAAGUUUGCUAAGCCAAAGAACGUUCUUUGGCUAAGCGCCAUUUCAAGCGAGGACAGUCGUAACAAUGGAUACAGCUCCUUUGCCAAAAGAGACAUUACAUGAUAGUUCAAAAUUAUCAGAUUUUUAUAACUGCAAGAAGUUCCCGAAGAUGCUGUUAAUGUCCUAAAAGGGUAAAGGCAAAGCAAGUAUUUUAGCAUCAGGACUGUUAUUUGAAAAAAAAAAAAAAAAAAAAAAAAAAAAAAAAUCCAAAUUCUGCACUUCUAAUAUUUGCUAAAUGGAAUAGAAGACAUGGAAUCUCUUGGACCAGCUCAGAAUAAACAGCCCAUUAUAGUGUGUAUUACAAGUUUAUUCUAUAUUAAAGCAGUAAAUCACUUAAAAGCAUGCCCAAAUCAUGCCAUGAAGGCAUUUGACGUUCUAUUUAAAACUAAUUUUGUAUUUAGCGUUCAAUAUGCACAUACAUCAACAAAUUUUUAUAAUUUUGUGGCAAGCCUUUUGUAUAAUGUCAGCACUCCUAGAGCUUGUGUGGACUCUUUAAAUACAUUUUCGAGUCUGAAUUUAUUGCAUUUUGUACAUGCAUUACAUUUCAUAUUUUUAAUGUCAUUUUAGUGUCAUAUUUUCCAUUUUCAUAUAUGUAUAUAUAUGUACAUAUAUUUCCUAAUAAAGAGUUUUUU
This is a long non-coding RNA of Stegodyphus dumicola, 889 nucleotides long. RefSeq lists it as uncharacterized. NCBI's taxonomy places the organism in Eukaryota, Metazoa, Arthropoda, Arachnida, Araneae, Eresidae. The record is from RefSeq and is a predicted model, not a curated record.